UACGUAGGGUGCGAGCGUUAAUCGGAAUUACUGGGCGUAAAGCGUGCGCAGGCGGUUCGCCAAGUCAGGUGUGAAAUCCCCGGGCUUAACCUGGGAAUUGCGCUUGAAACUAGCGGGCUUGAGUGUGGCAGAGGGGGGUGGAAUUCCACGUGGAGCGGUGAAAUGCGUAGAGAUUUGGAGGAACACCAGUGGCGAAGGCGACUUUCUGGUCUGUAACUGACACUGAGGCGCGAAAGCGUGGGGAGCGAACAGG
This 253-nucleotide ribosomal RNA is filed under the name uncultured bacterium. Its description in RNAcentral is "partial 16S ribosomal RNA". It matches the Rfam family "Bacterial small subunit ribosomal RNA", at positions 524 to 776 of the family's 1533-position model. The record is from RNAcentral.